GAUGAAGAACGUAGUAAAAUGCGAUAAUUAAUGUGAAUUGCAGAAUUCAGUGAAUCAUCGAGUCUUUGAACGCACAUUGCGCCCCCUGGUAUUCCGGGGGGCAUGCCUGUCCGAGCGUCAUUGCUGCCCUCAAGCACGGCUUGUGUGUUGGGCUUCCGUCCCUGGCAACGGGGACGGGCCCAAAAGGCAGUGGCGGCACCAUGUCUGGUCCUCGAGCGUAUGGGGCUUUGUCACCCGCUCCCGUAGGUCCAGCUGGCAGCUAGCCUCGCAACCAAUCUUUUUAACCAGGUUGACCUCGGAUCAGGUAGGGAUACCCGCUGAACUUAAGCAUAUCAAUAAGCGGGGA
RNAcentral lists this unclassified non-coding RNA (346 nucleotides) under soil metagenome. Its description in RNAcentral is "partial contains 5.8S ribosomal RNA, internal transcribed spacer 2, and large subunit ribosomal RNA". The stretch from base 1 to 120 matches the Rfam family "5.8S ribosomal RNA", at positions 35 to 154 of the family's 154-position model. The record is from RNAcentral.